AAACGGAUGCUAAUACCGCAUAUUUCUAAUCGUCUCCUGACGAAUGGAAGAAAGGUGGCUUCGGCUACCGCUUAUGGAUGGACCCGCGGCGUAUUAGCUAGUUGGUGAGGUAAUGGCUCACCAAGGCGAUGAUACGUAGCCGACCUGAGAGGGUGAUCGGCCACACUGGGACUGAGACACGGCCCAGACUCCUACGGGAGGCAGCAGUAGGGAAUCUUCCGCAAUGGACGAAAGUCUGACGGAGCAAUGCCGCGUGAGUGAAGAAGGUUUUCGGAUCGUAAAACUCUGUUGUUAGAGAAGAACAAGGAUGUUUAGUAACUGCUCAUCCCCUGACGGUAUCUAACCAGAAAGCCACGGCUAACUACGUGCCAGCAGCCGCGGUAAUACGUAGGUGGCAAGCGUUGUCCGGAUUUAUUGGGCGUAAAGCGAGCGCAGGCGGUUCUUUAAGUCUGAUGUGAAAGCCCCCGGCUCAACCGGGGAGGGUCAUUGGAAACUGGAGAACUUGAGUGCAGAAGAGGAGAGUGGAAUUCCACGUGUAGCGGUGAAAUGCGUAGAUAUGUGGAGGAACACCAGUGGCGAAGGCGACUCUCUGGUCUGUAACUGACGCUGAGGCUCGAAAGCGU
This 623-nucleotide ribosomal RNA is filed under the name Carnobacterium jeotgali. RNAcentral's name for it is "bacterial SSU rRNA". It matches the Rfam family "Bacterial small subunit ribosomal RNA", at positions 154 to 762 of the family's 1533-position model. The record is from RNAcentral. Lineage: Bacteria; Bacillati; Bacillota; Bacilli; Lactobacillales; Carnobacteriaceae.